CGAAUGGAAUACACAUAUAGAAUACUCUUUAAAGAAAAUCAUGGGAAGUUGAGUAAUUAUAAUGAGAAACUUAAAAGAGAUUAAGAAUUACUAACCAGCAAUGAAAAACUGCAUUUUUAAUAGAGCCAAUCAGCAAGGUUUGUGACUCCCCAGCACUCAAUAUUAGCUGAGGAAAAGAAGAGCUAUUUGCUCUCCAGUAUGAGGUCUGGAAAACAGAUCACCAAGGAUGCCAGGGUAAGAUAUUACUGGCACCUAGUGGAUACAGAUCAGGAAUACUGCUAAACAUUCUAUUAAUAUAAUGCACAGGACAGCCCCCUACAACAAAGAAUUACCUGGGCCAAUAUGUCAACAGUGCUGAAAUUGAGAAACUCUGAUACCUAUGUGCCCAUCCACCUGGCAGUGUGCAGCCUAUGGUAGUUGCAAAAUAAACAUCUGUUGACAAAUGGAUAUAAGAAAGAUUGAACAGAUAAAACCGAAAAAAGAAGGAAAGGAAAAGGAAAGCACAUCAAAAUGAAUAGGAAGAAGGCAAAGUGCACAGAAUCAACAGCCAGAUAGCGGAAUCAAAAAAUAAAAGACUCAUUAUCAAAAAGAUCCAUCUAUUUUAAUGUAAUUACUGAAUUGCUUCUUUCCAUGUUUCUAAUUCUGAAUACUUCCAUAAAUAGACAAACACAGGGAGGAACAUACGCUCUUGAAUAAAAAGACCAGGAUUUCAACUUAAUUCCCAACAUGUGUGCUAAUAAUCUUAAACACGUCCUAAGAUGUUUAAGUUUCAGGAGACUCACCUGAAAGAGUUAAUAUACAAUGACCAAACAAAACAAUUUAUGAAUCUUAUAAAUGAGUCCACUAAGGAUUAUAGAGGACAUCUUCCUUAGGCAUUCCUUCUAUAAUACAGUAAUGCUUACUUUUGGAAAAUAAACUUUCUGAGAGCUAUUCAACUCGCAGUACAUUUUUCCACCAAGUUAGAUGCCAAGAAUAAUAAAUUUGUAUACUGAAAGAUGGGAUAAAAGAACCAUUCAUUACUCACUUUUACUUAGAAAUCAAUGAAUUAACUAAAGUUCUUUCAGAAAUAUAUUUUAUAUCAUGAAUUACAUAGUAUUUUUUGUGGCAAAGCUUAAGAAUCUAGCUCUCAUAUAAGCACUUGCUCAGUAAAAGUUCUGACCUCUAAAAUAUUUUUGAAAUAUCUUCCUAAAUAAUCCAGAAAGUUACAAAUUAUUAGGAAAAAUUUCAGGCAUUGUAAUUUUUAAAUUCCUAUCAUAGACUAGAAGAUUAAGAAAGACUGCACAGGCUGGGUGCAGUGGCUCAUGCCUGUAAUCCCAACACUUUAGGGAGGCUGAGGUGGGCAGAUCACUUGAGGUCAGGAGUUCGAGACCAGCCAGUUGCCAAAAAAGUGAAACUCUGUCUCUAUUAAAAAUACAAAAACUUUUUAGCUGGUUGUGGUGGUGGGUGCCUGUAAUCCCAGCUACUUGGGAGGCUGAGGCAGGGGAA
Molecule: long non-coding RNA, 1485 nt
Filed under: Homo sapiens (human)
Lineage: Eukaryota; Metazoa; Chordata; Mammalia; Primates; Hominidae
Description: non-protein coding lnc-RMDN1-1:1
Source: RNAcentral